UACGAAGGGGGCUAGCGUUGUUCGAAAUUACUGGGCGUAAAGCGCACGUAGGCGGUUCCUUAAGUCAGGGGUGAAAUCCUGGAGCUCAACUCCAGAACUGCCUUUGAUACUGAAGAUCUUGAGUUCGGGAGAGGUGAGUGGAACUGCGAGUGUAGAGGUGAAAUUCGUAGAUAUUCGCAAGAACACCAGUGGCGAAGGCGGCUCACUGGCCCGAUACUGACGCUGAUGCACGAAAGCGUGGGGAGCAAACAGG
RNAcentral lists this ribosomal RNA (253 nucleotides) under uncultured bacterium. RNAcentral's name for it is "partial 16S ribosomal RNA". It matches the Rfam family "Bacterial small subunit ribosomal RNA", at positions 524 to 776 of the family's 1533-position model. The record is from RNAcentral.